Molecule: small RNA, 576 nt
Filed under: Pan troglodytes (chimpanzee)
Lineage: Eukaryota; Metazoa; Chordata; Mammalia; Primates; Hominidae
Description: retained intron
Source: RNAcentral
GUGCAAGUGGAGCUGUGCUUUGCUUACAACCAGAGUGCCGGGAACCCCAACUACAGGCGAAACAUCAGUGAGUGCUGGGGUGCAGCGUAAAAGGGGUACGCUCCCCUGUCCCCUUGCUGACCACCCUGUCUACCUGUAGCCCUGGCCUACACUCUGGAGGCUGACAGGGACCGCCGGCCGCCCCGGCUCCGCUUUGCCGGCAGUGAGUCCGCUGUCUUCCACGGCUUCUUCUCCAUGCCCGAGAUGCGCUGCCAGAAGCUGGAGCUGCUCCUGAUGGACAACCUCCGUGACAAACUCCGCCCCAUCAUCAUCUCCAUGAACUACUCUUUACCUUUGCGGAUGCCCGAUCGCCCCCGGCUGGGGCUGCGGUCCCUGGACGCCUACCCGAUCCUCAACCAGGCACAGGCUCUGGAGAACCACACUGAGGUCCAGUUCCAGAAGGAGUGCGGGCCUGACAACAAGUGUGAGAGCAACUUGCAGAUGCGGGCAGCCUUCGUGUCAGAGCAGCAGCAGAAGCUGAGCAGGUGGCUGUGGGCCGCCGGCCGCGUUAAUCGGCCAAGGGUGGGACGGGGCCUC